Molecule: non-coding RNA, 99 nt
Organism: Acanthosepion pharaonis
Lineage: Eukaryota; Metazoa; Mollusca; Cephalopoda; Sepiida; Sepiidae
Source: the annotation of a GenBank genome assembly
GUUGAAACACAAGUUCCCGUACGAUCACCAAAGUUAAGCAACGCCGAGCCUGGUCAGUGCCUAGAUGGGUGACCGUUUUGGGAUACAGGGUGCCGUAAG